Mytilus californianus (California mussel) is the source of this 1862-nucleotide long non-coding RNA. RefSeq lists it as uncharacterized. The record is from RefSeq and is a predicted model, not a curated record. Lineage: Eukaryota; Metazoa; Mollusca; Bivalvia; Mytilida; Mytilidae. The transcript is spliced from 3 exons.
UUUCGAAAUGUCAAAAUAUCUUUUUUUAACUAUUGCUACUAUUCCUUUUUUCAGGAAAGUUCACUGCAAUCCGGAUCCUUUCAGUCAAUUGUGCAUAAGAUGUAGUGUUUCUGUUAAGACCGCACUGGUGCUAUAUUAGGCUUGUUUUUUUUUUAAAUCAAGCACUCACCAAAGUUAACAAUUUUAAUGCACAUAUACAUUUGGUAAAUGUUAAAGUUGCUUUUCACUAGAUAUCUCGUUUUACAAAUAAUGUAUAUAAACGCAAAGACAUUGAUGCUGUCUCUGAAAAGAAACUCUUCGUUUAAUACAAUUGUCAUAAAAACAAACAUAAAGAUUUAAAAAACUAAAACAAAAAACUGGUCGAUUAUAGUAAAAUGGCAUCAAGUAACACAACAAAUAACUAUUACAGGACGAGUAUAAGUAACAAUAUUAAAUUGGAGGAAUUUUACCUCAGUCAUUCUUCAUUAAUGGGGUAUCUCAGUAUAUUAUGUUGCAAGUAUAUGUUGUCUUAUAUAAAAGAUAGAUGACACUAGUUAACCAUGACAGUGAUGUUCUUUUCAACAACAAGUAAUACUGUAUCAUUGUCGGUUAUCUGUAUAAUAUAAUCGUGAAUUUACGAAAACGUCUUAAAUGUAAUGUUGAGAUGUGUAUUUUGUUUUAAAUUCUUUAACGUUCUUAAAAUUUCAUCUGUUUUUAAAUUGCAAGACGAUGCAUUGAAUGGUACGGUUUUUAUUAUAAAGACGAAGUUUAAAAUUUCAUUCCUUCGACAAGAUAUUCAUUGUGGACUAUUAUUCUAAUUAGACAUACAUAAAUGUUUCCGUCAACAUAUUGCAUUCUCUUUGCAGAAACACUUUGAUCAUUCGGAGUAAAUCACAAAUGUUCAUGAUAAUACGUAUAUAACAAAUGUUAUCGCAAUUGGCUCAUAUUUCGAUUGUGUGAAUACUUAAUGUGUACGAAUUACAUCAAAGCUUUAUUAAACAAUGGUCUCGAUCUAGAAAUCAAAGUAAAUAAUAGAUAAAUUAAAUUUACCUUCUGUCAUCAAUUUUUCUAGGAAAAUAAUUAUUCCACUGUUCCUAACAUGCUAAACGAGUAUGAUGUUUGUGUUUUAACGAAAUCUUAUUUUAUCAUAAUCCAUUGUUGUGAAUCGAGAACAAGAAGCUUUCUUUAGUAAAAUAUUAUAAUAUUAUUCCUAAAGCAGAAAUGUCUCAUUGCGUAAGUUGACAAAUUAGCUAAUCUUGCAAAGACAGUGUAUUUUUUGUUUAGAUCGACUGCUCAUGAUGAUUGCUUUAGUUUCUGAUGAAGAUGAAAUUGCACAAUUAACAGUUCCAGUAUACAUGUUAUGCUUUUUUUUUUCUUUCAGAAAGUUCAUCCAAAGAAUUAAAACCUAUAUUACUAGGUACAUGCAUUCCCAUCGUUCUGCUGGUAAUAGUUAUUUUCGUUUUGAUGAUCUUGAAACAAACGAAAACAUCACAUGAAGAUGACCACGACUGGGAGAUUACAAUUUGUCAUCAACUGAGAUUGUCCUGUUGUAUAACAAAAAAAAGAGGAAGCAAUUGGAAUAGAAGCAUGAGGUCUAGCACAACCAGCAACUCCCCCGAUGAAAAAAUUGAUCAAACGGAAGAAUGCCUCAAUAGAGAAAUAUGCUUAAAUAGUGAGAAAGAUGAAGCAAGCAAAAGUAAUACGAAAAAAGAAUUCACUGAAAUUUUUCUAAUGAGGACUUCCGAGUAUCAACAGGAAUCAGGAGAUAACUCUGAAUGGGGUUAAAGGAUACAGUUUGAUGGAAAAUGAAAUUUUAUGUUAAUUGUCCAUAGUUGCCAAAUGCUUUUUACAAAAACUUCUAAACGUUAAAAAAAAAAUAAAAA